UUCCCUGUGGCUCAUCUGGUAAAGAAUCUGCCUGCAAUGCAGGAAAUCUGGGUUCAAGCCCUGUUGGGAAG
RNAcentral lists this transfer RNA (71 nucleotides) under Capra hircus (goat). It matches the Rfam family "tRNA". Rfam says of the family: Transfer RNA (tRNA) molecules are approximately 80 nucleotides in length. Their secondary structure includes four short double-helical elements and three loops (D, anti-codon, and T loops). Further hydrogen bonds mediate the characteristic L-shaped molecular structure. tRNAs have two regions of fundamental functional importance: the anti-codon, which is responsible for specific mRNA codon recognition, and the 3' end, to which the tRNAs corresponding amino acid is attached (by aminoacyl-tRNA synthetases). tRNAs cope with the degeneracy of the genetic code in two manners: having more than one tRNA (with a specific anti-codon) for a particular amino acid; and 'wobble' base-pairing, i.e. permitting non-standard base-pairing at the 3rd anti-codon position. The record is from Rfam by way of RNAcentral. Lineage: Eukaryota; Metazoa; Chordata; Mammalia; Artiodactyla; Bovidae. RNAcentral also lists the same sequence under 1 other name.